RNAcentral lists this ribosomal RNA (329 nucleotides) under uncultured eukaryote. RNAcentral's name for it is "partial 18S ribosomal RNA". It matches the Rfam family "Eukaryotic small subunit ribosomal RNA", at positions 1470 to 1796 of the family's 1831-position model. The record is from RNAcentral.
CCCUUAGAUGUUCUGGGCCGCACGCGCGCUACACUGAUGCAUUCAACGAGUCUAAAACCUGCUCUGAUAGGGGUGGGUAAUCUUUUGAAUGUGCAUCGUGAUUGGGAUAGAUGAUUGCAAUUUUGCAUCUUCAACGAGGAAUGCCUAGUAAACGCAAGUCAUCAGCUUGCAUUGAUUACGUCCCUGCCCUUUGUACACACCGCCCGUCGCUCCUACCGAUUGAAUGAUCCGAUGAAUAUCAUGGAUUGAGGAUGCAAGUAGGUUCGCCUAUCUUCAUCUUCGAGAAGUGAAGUAAAUCUUAUCAUUUAGAGGAAGGAGAAGUCGUAACA